GGCGAGUGAGCGGCAACAGCUCAAAUUUGAAAGCCCGCGGGCGUUGUAAUUUGCAGGCGGAUGUUUUGGGGCGGGCGCUGUCUACGUUCCUUGGAACAGGACGCCGCAGAGGGUGAGAGCCCCGUGCGAUGGCGCCUCUAACCGCGUAAAACUCCGCCGACGAGUCGAGUUGUUUGGGAAUGCAGCUCCAAGUGGGUGGUAAAUUCCAUCUAAAGCUAAAUACUGGCGAGAGACCGAUAGCGAACAAGUACAGUGAUGGAAAGAUGAAAAGCACUUUGAAAAGAGAGUGAAACAGCACGUGAAAUUGUUGAAAGGGAAGGGUAUGCGAUUAGCGGCCAGCAGGAGGUGCCUUCUCGUGAAAAGGCCGUGCACCGUCUUCGGACACCGUGCGCGGAGAUGGCGAGGGGGCGCCUGAGGUCUGCGACUCCAGGGUGCUGGGGUAAUGAUUGG
Molecule: ribosomal RNA, 450 nt
Filed under: Diutina rugosa
Lineage: Eukaryota; Fungi; Ascomycota; Pichiomycetes; Serinales; Debaryomycetaceae
Description: LSU rRNA
Rfam family: Eukaryotic large subunit ribosomal RNA
Source: RNAcentral